AUUGAACGCUGGCGGCAUGCCUUACACAUGCAAGUCGAACGGCAGCACGGGUGCUUGCACCUGGUGGCGAGUGGCGAACGGGUGAGUAAUACAUCGGAACAUGUCCUGUAGUGGGGGAUAGCCCGGCGAAAGCCGGAUUAAUACCGCAUACGAUCUACGGAUGAAAGCGGGGGACCUUCGGGCCUCGCGCGAUAGGGUUGGCCGAUAGCUGAUUAGCUAGUUGGUGGGGGAAAGGCCUACCAAGGCGACGAUCAGUAGCUGGUCUGAGAGGACGACCAGCCACACUGGGACUGAGACACGGCCCAGACUCCUACGGGAGGCAGCAGUGGGGAAUUUUGGACAAUGGGCGAAAGCCUGAUCCAGCAAUGCCGCGUGUGUGAAGAAGGCCUUCGGGUUGUAAAGCACUUUUGUCCGGAAAGAAAUCCUUGGCUCUAAUACAGUCGGGGGAUGACGGUACCGGAAGAAUAAGCACCGGCUAACUACGUG
Molecule: ribosomal RNA, 486 nt
Filed under: uncultured bacterium
Lineage: Bacteria
Description: partial 16S ribosomal RNA
Rfam family: Bacterial small subunit ribosomal RNA
Source: RNAcentral